AAUGUAUGUUCAUAUUGAAAUUGAUAGAAAACCAAAAAUUGGGAAUUUUGGAAAUGAAGGAGGAGGUAUAAAAUUUCUAACAACACUUUACAUACUUUUAACUCCGCUCUGAAUGCCCGCGAUUUCGCGGGUGUGUUCUAGUAUUUUUUGAAAUAGAAUGGUCCCAAAAUUUUAUGAAAUCAUUUUUCAAUUUUUUAUAUAUAGAAACAGUCAAACGAUUUUUACUAAAUGAAUUUUGAUUUUCCCAGACAUGGUCAAAUCCAACUUUUUCAAAUAACAAUUUCAUUUUAAUUCUAUACCAGUCUGACUUAUUAUUAAGGUUUGAUGAAUAAAUUUUAUUUAUUAAGCUAUCCGGAUUUGAAUUGACUAUAUGAUGCCAGUAACCUACACAAAGUUUAGUAGCAUCAACAGAGCAUGGGAUCAUACCCAAUUCUCC
RNAcentral lists this long non-coding RNA (436 nucleotides) under Mytilus galloprovincialis (Mediterranean mussel). Lineage: Eukaryota; Metazoa; Mollusca; Bivalvia; Mytilida; Mytilidae. The record is from RNAcentral.